This 1506-nucleotide ribosomal RNA is filed under the name metagenome. RNAcentral's name for it is "bacterial SSU rRNA". It matches the Rfam family "Bacterial small subunit ribosomal RNA". The record is from RNAcentral.
AGAGUUUGAUCCUGGCUCAGGACGAACGCUGGCGGCGUGCCUAAUACAUGCAAGUAGAACGCUGAAGAGAGGAGCUUGCUCUUCUUGGAUGAGUUGCGAACGGGUGAGUAACGCGUAAGUAACCUGCCUUGUAGCGGGGGAUAACUAUUGGAAACGAUAGCUAAUACCGCAUAACAAUGGAUGACACAUGUCAUUUAUUUGAAAGGGGCAAUUGUUCCACUACAAGAUGGACCUGCGUUGUAUUAGCUAGUAGGUGAGGUAAUGGCUCACCUAGGCGACGAUACAUAGCCGACCUGAGAGGGUGAUCGGCCACACUGGGACUGAGACACGGCCCAGACUCCUACGGGAGGCAGCAGUAGGGAAUCUUCGGCAAUGGGGGCAACCCUGACCGAGCAACGCCGCGUGAGUGAAGAAGGUUUUCGGAUCGUAAAGCUCUGUUGUAAGUCAAGAACGGGUGUGAGAGUGGAAAGUUCACACUGUGACGGUAGCUUACCAGAAAGGGACGGCUAACUACGUGCCAGCAGCCGCGGUAAUACGUAGGUCCCGAGCGUUGUCCGGAUUUAUUGGGCGUAAAGCGAGCGCAGGCGGUUUGAUAAGUCUGAAGUUAAAGGCUGUGGCUCAACCAUAGUUCGCUUUGGAAACUGUCAAACUUGAGUGCAGAAGGGGAGAGUGGAAUUCCAUGUGUAGCGGUGAAAUACGUAGAUAUAUGGAGGAACACCGGUGGCGAAAGCGGCUCUCUGGUCUGUAACUGACGCUGAGGCUCGAAAGCGUGGGGAGCGAACAGGAUUAGAUACCCUGGUAGUCCACGCCGUAAACGAUGAGUGCUAGGUGUUGGAUCCUUUCCGGGAUUCAGUGCCGCAGCUAACGCAUUAAGCACUCCGCCUGGGGAGUACGACCGCAAGGUUGAAACUCAAAGGAAUUGACGGGGGCCCGCACAAGCGGUGGAGCAUGUGGUUUAAUUCGAAGCAACGCGAAGAACCUUACCAGGUCUUGACAUCCCGAUGCUAUUUCUAGAGAUAGAAAGUUACUUCGGUACAUCGGUGACAGGUGGUGCAUGGUUGUCGUCAGCUCGUGUCGUGAGAUGUUGGGUUAAGUCCCGCAACGAGCGCAACCCCUAUUGUUAGUUGCCAUCAUUCAGUUGGGCACUCUAGCGAGACUGCCAGUAAUAAACCGGAGGAAGGUGGGGAUGACGUCAAAUCAUCAUGCCCCUUAUGACCUGGGCUACACACGUGCUACAAUGGUUGGUACAACGAGUUGCGAGUCGGUGACGGCGAGCUAAUCUCUUAAAGCCAAUCUCAGUUCGGAUUGUAGGCUGCAACUCGCCUACAUGAAGUCGGAAUCGCUAGUAAUCGCGGAUCAGCACGCCGCGGUGAAUACGUUCCCGGGCCUUGUACACACCGCCCGUCACACCACGAGAGUUUGUAACACCCGAAGUCGGUGAGGUAACCUUUUGGAGCCAGCCGCCUAAGGUGGGACAGAUGAUUGGGGUGAAGUCGUAACAAGGUA